Long non-coding RNA from Lycium barbarum (goji berry), 3505 nucleotides. RefSeq lists it as uncharacterized. The transcript has 10 exons. Lineage: Eukaryota; Viridiplantae; Streptophyta; Magnoliopsida; Solanales; Solanaceae. The record is from RefSeq and is a predicted model, not a curated record.
AUUGAUUUGCUGUAUUUGAAUCUGGUCGAGCUCUCUGGUUUUGGGAGUUAUUUGUGCUAUUUUUUUCUUUUGUUUAUUGCACUUGUUCGGUUGGUAAUCCAUUUCAUGAGUGUUAGUUUUCUAUUAUUUUGAAUAAUGUCUUGGUAGAAUUUUACAUGCAUGUAUUGAUUGUACGCGAUUUGCAAUUGUCUUUUGCUACCAACUAAUCACGAGUUAAAGGUUUUACUAAAGAUAUUGGGGUAUCAAAUUGUCGCUGGAAGAUUGGGUCUCUUGAUUUGUGCUAUGUUUUUCUGUAAAAAGAACAGUAGCUUUGAGAAGUUUCUUAAACUGAUUUGGCUGGCGAGAAUUAACAGCUUUGAGAAAUUUCUUAAACUAGCCUCAUGGAAUUGAUCAUUUGAAAAAUCUGUGACUGUAUUACAUCAAGGAAAUUAGUUGUUCCUUCUGAGAGUUAUCUCUACAAUACAAGGAUUUAACUUUAUUAGCUGAUUCUAAACAUAUUUGAGCUGACCGCCUGGUAUAAUUGUGAUUCUGAUCUAUUAUCAAGGUAUUGUAGACUUUGCACAUUAAUCCAAGUAGCAGUCAUUGUGGCAAAGGUUGCUUUGCACUAGAAAUAUGUUAACAAACAGCGAUAGUUGAAAUCAUCUUCCUAAAACUUGGAUUUGUAGACAUUACGUUGUUUGAGUUAUUUCUUAAAGAUAUUUUUAAAUUUAGCAAUUCUUUUAAUCAGUUGGUCAUUGGGACAACUCUGGUGGAGAAGUUGAAGGAUUUUGUGCUAGAACUAGAGUUUUCAUAAGAGGGGAUCAUCCAGUUGAGGAUCCAGUAUUCUUGCCUUCUCCGGUGAGUGACAAUUGAGUUUUUUUUUUUCUAUAUUGUCACAGGUUGAUUGUUGUAUGUGAGCUUAUUGUACUUGAUAUGAAUUGGGUGUUAAUUAGUUUCUUGUACAAUUGAUCAGUACAUAAUUGAUGUUUAUAUUAAUAUCUUAAAAAUAUACUACAUUGUUUCCGUUCCUUGCCUCUAUAAUACUUUCUUAUAGAAUGUUAGUAACGAUGUUUUGCAAAAUCUGCAGGAAGUUGAUGGAGCAUCAUAUGAUCCUAAGUUAGAUAUAUAACAUGAAAAUUAUGCUCCCAAUUAAUUAUUAUCUGGUUCCACUUUUAUCUCUGAUUGACCAUGGAGGAUUUAUUUGUCGUGUGAUACAAGCUAAGUUUCCCUUCUUCGACUCUGCCUCCGUUUCCACUUGGCUUAUUCACAAAAAAAUGGGCUCUAUUUCUGUCAGAAAGAAGCAGAACCUUCUUCCUUGUGCGUCAUCGGAUUCUUCUCCCGCUUGAAUCAAUUCAUGUUGUAGGCGUAGUGAAUGGCGCAAUUCAUGUUGUUGCUGACUUUGGAUCUCCAUUACCCUCAAUUCGCUAUUUUGUUCUGAAUUCGGUUCUUGUUUCUCAAGAGGGGAAAAGGAACAUUGUUUUCACUGUAACAGGUAAUUUUAUAAACUUUAUUUUGACGUUAUUAAACCAUGAAUGAAUCCCCAGCUAUGUGUUUCUCCAAAUACUUCCUCCGAAUUAAAAAAAGCGUUCACUUAGCCUUUUUUUUUUGGGUCAAAAAGAGUGUCCACUCAUCAAAUCAAAAAAGAAUUAACCUUAUUUUUUCAAAUUUGACCCUAUUAAGUGCUAUGUGAUCAAAUCUCAAUACCUAUUUAAUUAGGGUAGUUUAAUCAAAUUACCUAAUUUUUGUUAGGAGUUAGUAUUUUCUUAAAGGGUGUGCAAAUGGCUACGUGGACACUCUUUUUUAUCUGGAGGGAGUAAUGUUUAUGCUUUGAAAAUAAAGCUAGAGGAAGACUACAAUGUUAAACUGAAUAAUAAAUGUUGUAGAUGUUUUCCCAGUUAUCAACGCUUCGUUUUCUUGUUCAACUUUGGUGUAAUUGAGCUGUAAGAGCUAUGUAUCUAGCCUUCAGGGUAUUGUAAUCUUUAUUCUAAUUAUUUAAUGCUCCACAGGGCAUGGCGAUUUUGCGACCAGAUUGCCCAUUAUAGUUUGGGUUUAUGGGCUUACACUUUUUCGCACUGUUUGUGGUAAAGUAAUCAAAUGGUAUCCAUUGAAUUUUACUUUGUCAUGGAACUAAAUGUUUAGGUUGCCAGAUUAUUCAGUAAUAUAUGUAGAUAAUAAAUAUGGUGUAAUACUAUAACAUACAUGAAUGAGGCUUCGAGGUGAGUGUUUUACCUCUGUUAAGCUUUUUUAUUUUACUUUGAAUAUAUAAUAUCUGCAUCAGGAUAUACUUUUUGUGUUGUACAAGGAUAAAUAUUGAUAGAAGAAGACUUAAGCUAAAGCAAUAUCUUUUGGUACAUUGAUACAGAUUUACAUUUCUUAAUAUAACUCGGAGACCAAAAGAGUUGAAAGGAAGAGCUGAUCCAAGAUCAAGAGACAUUCAGAAGCUCUUGCUUCAGUCGUGGAGUUUGGGCUAAGCAAAUAACUGAUAAUUCAUGGCAAUUUCAGAAAGUGAAUGUGGUCUUAGUUUGUCUGGAAAAUUUUGAAGUUGGGAGCAACCAUGCCACUUUCUGUGUUCACAGACUACAGACCACAUUUCUUGAAUAUAGACACUAACGCAGCAACUUGAGAGGAGGUGACAAAGAAUAUAUGUUCAAGUUGCAAAGGCAGAACAACAAUCAGACUGAAUUAGGCGAAAGGGUUGAUUUCAUAUUUCUCCUACUUGCAAGCCCUUCAGAGACACUUUUUUCGAUAGGUGGACACUACUCUGGAAUUAGUUGAAGCCUACAUGAACUGUCUACUAAUUGUGAAAUGAAUUCUGAGCUCUGAUCAAAGUCGGACCAAAAGAGUGUCUCUUCCCUUUUAAAGCUCAAGUCAGCAUAUAAUGUUACUUCAACUGAAGAUUAGCGCUCUUAAGGAGAACAUUGGAAUUACCCUUCUGUUGAAAAUAUGCUGGUUAACACCCAGAUGCAAUUUCUACAGCCAACUACAGCUGCUUGAAUCCAGAUUGUAGUCCCUUACACGAAGAACAUAAAAAAUUUCACAGCUUUUCUCUUUCUAACAAACUUGACAACGUAAUAGUAUAACUUUGUUCCGCACAAUAUGAAGCAUAUUAUCUUUAUAUAAAGCAUAUUUAACUUGAUAGUACUGGUUCCUUUUUGUUGGUUAAACUCCUAUUAAACAAAUAAGGAAGUACCUUUCGAAAGUCGAACCACUUUUAUAUAACAAAGCACGGGAUCGGGCCAUCUAGUUUUGAUAUAAGAAAAUUAUUUUUUGUUGUAGGUCAAAUUAACCCAAUAAUAAAUUUAUGUUAGGGUUUGCCCUGAAUUUUCUACAUUAUUUGGAUUCUACCAUAAUUGUGUUUUAUUUCAAAAAAGUUUUCUUGAUAGAAAAGAUUUCCUUGGUGGAAAAGAUAUCUUCUAUAUUUGAAUAAUCCUUUCUUGGAUGAAAAGUUUUCGGACUUCUAUAAAUUGAAGAUUUGUAUCUCGCACACAAAACAUAAUAGUAUCCACAAUGUAGUCGUUUAAAGAGU